UUUUUCUGCUAUUGAUAACAAUGAGCCGGCAGCUAGCUCUCUGCAACUCUCACAUGGUCGCCCACCCGGUCAGUACCUGGAUGGGAGACCUCAUGGGAAAGCUAGGUUGCUGAUGGAA
Molecule: ribosomal RNA, 118 nt
Filed under: Danio rerio (zebrafish)
Lineage: Eukaryota; Metazoa; Chordata; Actinopteri; Cypriniformes; Danionidae
Source: RNAcentral